This 1036-nucleotide long non-coding RNA is filed under the name Olea europaea subsp. europaea. The record is from RNAcentral. Lineage: Eukaryota; Viridiplantae; Streptophyta; Magnoliopsida; Lamiales; Oleaceae.
CAGAAAUUCCUUAAGAUGAGAAAAAGUGCCUACAACAAUAAUCCUAAUUAACUGGAAAAAAGAAAAGCAUAGAAAGUGCCUACAAUCGUAAAUACACAAUUGCACAAUUAUAAUCGAAAAGCCCCAGCAACCCUAAAUCACUAGAAAUACUGAUGGAGCCAACCUAUUGCACGGAGUAAUUUCUGCAGUCAAAGGAACAGAAAAUAAAUGUUAGAAUAAAUUCUUGAUUGAAGAGAAAGUGGGCCAUAGAGGAACAGAAAAUUAAUAGGAAAAUUGAUGGACAGAUUCCAAAAAUAUGUCUCUUAUUUUACGCCCCAAGUAAAAUCAUACACUAAAUUUAAAACCUUGUCCAGACAAGUCAAAUCAAUAACCGUAAAAUUCCAUGCAUAGUUGAAGAAUAGAGAUUGGAGAUUGGAUAAGAAUGAUUUAUUUGGGUUUAAGAAUUUAUUAUAAAGAUCGAAAAUUGGAGAACGAUUUGUUUUGGGACUUGCGUUCUUCCCAUUUUGUUAAUGUUUGUAAGAGGAUUAAGAGAGGGAAAAAAAUACAAAAGGUAAAUACAGAAUUGAAACCGAAAAAAAAUAUAUAUAUAGAAAACUUUGUCAGGUCACUUGACUCCACACGACCACAGGUUGAUCCGCCCCUGUAAAUAGCUCACACCAAAAAAAAGAAAAAAAGAAAAAAAAAUUCUCUCUAACUUCAGGCAAUUUCAGCACCCAUAGGCAAUUUUAGCACCCAUAGUGACCACGACUAGUACAUUUCCCAAGAUCCACAAUCGGACCAUAAACUACUUCACCUGAUUGUCUAUGAUGCAGCUAUCUGUCAGCACAAGUCGGAAACAUCUAAAGUGACCCACUAUACUAGAUGUUGUAGGGAUGUCUCGAACAAUUUGUGAGGGUGUCGAGAUUUCUCAUCUUAAUGGCAAACCAAACUUGUGAAGGGCCAACACAACCUGCUUCCUCAUCACCUCUCCCUCUCUGCCUAAUUUGUAAGUACUCAACACUGAGAUAUAUGGACCAAAUUUUGGAUUGCAGUUGAC